This 107-nucleotide small nuclear RNA is filed under the name Pan paniscus (pygmy chimpanzee). Lineage: Eukaryota; Metazoa; Chordata; Mammalia; Primates; Hominidae. The record is from RNAcentral.
GUGCUCGCUUUGGCAGCACAUAUAUUAAAACUGAAACAAUACAGAGAAGACUAGCAUGGUCCCUGCACAAGGAUGACAUGCAAAUUCAUGAAGCAUUCCAUACUUUU